This 607-nucleotide long non-coding RNA is filed under the name Homo sapiens (human). RNAcentral describes it as "HSALNT0352863". Lineage: Eukaryota; Metazoa; Chordata; Mammalia; Primates; Hominidae. The record is from RNAcentral.
GCUGUCACGGCGCUUGCUGGGCGAAGCCGAGGGCUCUGCCAUGGUCCCUGCGUCGAUUUUGCGCUUUCGGUGCUGCUCUGGGACGCCGAGGAGCUGCCCAGCAUGCGCGACCCCGGGCGGCCGGAUCCAGAGAGGCGGUGGCGGCGGCUGCUCAGCGAAGUCGCAAAGCAGGAGCCGCUUCCAAGGCACGUGGAACGUCACCGGCUCGGCCGCACGCCGCUUGGCCAUGGGCCCAGAGGCUCGGGCGGAGCCCGCCAGGCGCGGGAGACCGAGUGCCGAUAGCUGCGGGGGGCGAAGAGCGAGGACUGAGCGCGUGAGAGAGGGACAGGCCGAAGUCGGGCGAGGAGGCGACAGGACGCUGGAGGGGGUAGGGCGGGGCAGCUCGCGCAGGGCCUAGGGCUGGGGCUCCGGCUCGGAGGCAGCUCCCGCGCUCAGCCCUCGCCGCCGCCGAGAUGCGGCCCGGACGUUGAGAAGCAACCGCGAAGCGGCGGAGAUUCGAACCUGCGCACAACGUGCGCGCGCGCACUCUGUCUGGCCAGGCGGAGCCGCUGGUUGGUGGAGGCUCGCGGGGCGCGCUCCCGAGCGCCCUCGCGACCGGAAGUGCGCG